GGGGAUUUAGCUCAGUGGCAUAAGCACCUGCCUUGCAAGCAGGGGGUUGUGAGUUCGAUCCCCG
Molecule: transfer RNA, 64 nt
Filed under: Cavia porcellus (domestic guinea pig)
Lineage: Eukaryota; Metazoa; Chordata; Mammalia; Rodentia; Caviidae
Rfam family: tRNA
About the family: Transfer RNA (tRNA) molecules are approximately 80 nucleotides in length.
Source: Rfam by way of RNAcentral